Molecule: ribosomal RNA, 157 nt
Filed under: Ramicandelaber taiwanensis
Lineage: Eukaryota; Fungi; Kickxellomycota; Ramicandelaberales; Ramicandelaberaceae
Description: 5.8S ribosomal RNA
Rfam family: 5.8S ribosomal RNA
About the family: 5.8S ribosomal RNA (5.8S rRNA) is a component of the large subunit of the eukaryotic ribosome.
Source: RNAcentral
AACUUUCAGCAAUGGAUCUCUAGGCUCUCGCAUCGAUGAAGAACGCAGCGAAUUGCGAAACGUAAUGUGACUUGCAACCCUCGUGAAUCAUCGAAUCUUUGAACGCAUCUUGCACUAUUCGGCUUCCCCGGAUAGUAUGCCUGGUUGAGUGUCUGUG